Molecule: long non-coding RNA, 1062 nt
Filed under: Parus major (Great Tit)
Lineage: Eukaryota; Metazoa; Chordata; Aves; Passeriformes; Paridae
Description: lncRNA (ENSPMJG00000002603.1)
Source: RNAcentral
UUUUGGGCAAAAACGGUAAAAAAUCCCAUCGCCAGGAACCCCGGCGGGCGGCAGCGGGGAGGGGGAUCGGCCACCCCGGUUGGGGAGGGUCGGACACCCCGCGGGGGGGGGUCGGACACCCCGGUGACGGUCCCGGUGCUCCCACGGUGCCAUCUCAGCGUCGAGACCGGAGCCCGGUGCCACCUGCGGGAACGGAGGGAGGGGUCACCCCUGGAGGAUCAGCCCUGGGGGGGUCCAGGGUCACCUCCGGGGGGUCCCGGGGCAGGGGAGUCUCUGUGGAGUCGGGAUGGGCACGUGGUGACACUGGUGGGACCGGGACAGGACCGGGACACGGCACGGGGGACACGGCUCCGGUGGCUCUCUCCAAUCCCAGCACGGCCAGACCCGUCCCCGGUCUGGGGUGUGAAAUGUGUCCCCGGCCGUGCCACGUCCCCAGCGUCCCCUCGGUGUCCCCAGGGCGGGACGGGCACUCCGGGACCCCCUGGAUGUGCGGAAUGUGCCGGGAGCCGCGGCCCCCGGUGCCAUCGUGUCACCGGCUCCCCGUCAGCCCGUGCUGGGACCCCCGUGGCCCCCAGGCCGUGGCCGUGGGUGCCACUGUCCCGGCCCCGGUGUCCCCAGCACCGGUGGCCGCGGUGGCUCUGGGGCUGGUGGCCGCGGUGGCCCCGGCACUGGUGUCCCCGGUGUCCCCGGGCCGGGGCUCUGCAGGCGCCAUGUGGGACCCACGAGGCCCCGCCCGGUCGUGACAUCAGCGUCGUCACGACAACGGGGCGACUUCAAAGGGAAUCGGGUGGAACCGGCCCAAAAAAUGGGGGUAAACAGCGGCGGCGGCACCGACACGGGCCCGGGGGGCCCGGGGGGCUCGGGGAGGGCUCGAGGGGUGCCCCGAUCCCCGGUCCCUGCUGCGGGGGUCGCGACAGUCGCGACGGUGACGGCCCCUCGCUGCCAGCGGGGCCCAGCUGUCCCCGGUGCCAGCGGUGGCGACACCGACACGAGGCCGGGAGGGGUCCGGAAGGGCUCGGGGGUCCUGGGGGGUCCUGGGGGGUCCGGGAGUGNGGGAGCUGA